Molecule: non-coding RNA, 27 nt
Filed under: Homo sapiens (human)
Lineage: Eukaryota; Metazoa; Chordata; Mammalia; Primates; Hominidae
Source: RNAcentral
UCCAUUGCCAAUGAACUCCAUGAACCC